RNAcentral lists this ribosomal RNA (463 nucleotides) under uncultured bacterium. RNAcentral describes it as "partial 16S ribosomal RNA". It matches the Rfam family "Bacterial small subunit ribosomal RNA", at positions 28 to 507 of the family's 1533-position model. The record is from RNAcentral.
GACGAACGCUGGCGGCGUGCUUAACACAUGCAAGUCGAACGGAAAGGCCUUUUCGGAGGUACUCGAGUGGCGAACGGGUGAGUAACACGUGGGUGAUCUGCCCUGCACUCUGGGAUAAGCCUGGGAAACUGGGUCUAAUACCGGAUAGGACCGCACUUUAGUGUGUGUGGGGGAAAGAUUUUUCGGUGUAGGAUGAGCCCGCGGCCUAUCAGCUUGUUGGUGGGGUAAUGGCCUACCAAGGCGGCGACGUGUAGCCGGACUGAGAGGUUGGCCGGCCACAUUGGGACUGAGAUACGGCCCAGACUCCUACGGGAGGCAGCAGUGGGGAAUAUUGCACAAGGGGCGCAAGCCUGAUGCAGCGACGCCGCGUGGGGGAUGACGGCCUUCGGGUUGUAAACUCCUUUCGCCAGGGACGAAGCGUUUUGUGACGGUACCUGGAGAAGAAGCACCGGCUAACUACGUG